AUGCUAUUCAGGGAUAGAUGCAGGGGUUUGCACCUGAAUUUUCUGGUACGAGAAAGGUACAGUAAGACUGGUACACUAAGAGACUGUGCAGUACCCCAACUGCUGGCUCCCCCACAUUCAUGUGAAGUCAUGCAAAUGGUCUCGCUGUGAUCUGCUGCUGCUGAAGGGGAACACACUGCCUUUCCUGCCACUACUGCUCUCGGUAGGUGACAGAUAAGCUGCGAGUGACAUAUGCCAUCUAACUUUGACAGUAACCAGCUGAGAGUGACAUAUGUCAUCUAAUUUUGACAGUAACCAGGAGUCAGAGUAUUCGGCAGGGCACAGGCACGGCACAGUGUCUGUUCCUGUGGCUUACAGAGAAGACCUGCCUUGAAGCCUGCAAGGUUGUUGACAGAGCAAGUUCUGCACUACCAUCACUGAACUGUGUAGAUACAUCCUAUGCUUUCUGAAUAUAUUGCACGCUUAUUCUUUUAUUCCUAGAGCUGUAUGUAAUGCAAAACCAAAUCAAUAUGCUUAGCUCCUCCCAGAGCACAACAACAUGGCAUUGCUUAGAUAAACUGAUGUCUUGCACGUACAGUGUGAAUCAGGAAGGCUGGAUAAAGGCCUGACCUGUAUAUGCAUGAAAAUGCCCCAGUGAAAGCAAAGUGCUCAUCAACUCAGGCUUGAUCAUUUGUCUGUUGCAGCCCUUUUGUUGGUAACACAGCUCUGUAUGUCUGCCAGAUGUGCAGUGUCAUCAACACCUUUGUCCCUUUAGUCCUUCUGAUCAUUAGAAAAGCCCCGUGAGGCCCCAGUCAUGCUUAAGGUCCCACAGUACUCAGUGCUCUGUUAGUGGCUAGCAGUUAAGGGCCUCUGUCCUGAAGCAUCGUGGAGUACAAACACGUGCCAUGUCAAGCUUCAUCAGCACAGCAGAACUGAAGAGAUUCACGUGUCUGUGUGACAAGAGAAAACAUUGACUGGCCACAGUCACUCUGCUUUUUUUUUUUUUUUUUUUUUUUUUUUUUUUUUUUGCCUGCUCAGUUUUAACUUGUUUUAUAGGUGCAACUGAGUUCUCAAGCAGGAUUGAAUUUUCAUGCCUGAAAUGUUUUGUAAUACAUUCAUACUGAAAUAAUAUAUCUUCUAACUAAUGUUGUUAUAAAAGACAUUUAGGUAUCUUAACAGAAAUGUGUGAAGUUGCUUGCUUUAUGGCACUGGUUUUCCCCACAAUAAAAUCCAUCUGCACUUAAAAAGAUAAGGCUUG
This 1237-nucleotide long non-coding RNA is filed under the name Anas platyrhynchos platyrhynchos (common mallard). RNAcentral's name for it is "lncRNA (ENSAPLG00000017602.1)". The record is from RNAcentral. Lineage: Eukaryota; Metazoa; Chordata; Aves; Anseriformes; Anatidae.